ACCCUUUGGGGUGUGACUGCGUACCUUUUGUAUAAUGGGUCAGCGACUUAUAUUCUGUAGCAAGGUUAACCGAAUAGGGGAGCCGGAGGGAAACCGAGUCUUAACCGGGCGUUAAGUUGCAGGGUAUAGACCCGAAACCCGGUGAUCUAGCCAUGGGCAGGUUGAAGGUUGGGUAACACUAACUGGAGGACCGAACCGACUAAUGUUGAAAAAUUAGCGGAUGACCUGUGGCUGGGGGUGAAAGGCCAAUCAAACCGGGAGAUAGCUGGUUCUCCCCGAAAGCUAUUUAGGUAGCGCCUCGUGAAUUCAUCUCCGGGGGUAGAGCACUGUUUCGGCUAGGGGGCCAUCCCGGCUUACCAACCCGAUGCAAACUGCGAAUACCGGAGAAUGUUAUCACGGGAGACACACGGCGGGUGCUAACGUCCGUCGUGAAGAGGGAAACAACCCAGACCGCCAGCUAAGGUCCCAAAGUCAUGGUUAAGUGGGAAACGAUGUGGGAAGGCCCAGACAGCCAGGAUGUUGGCUUAGAAGCAGCCAUCAUUUAAAGAAAGCGUAAUAGCUCACUGGUCGAGUCGGCCUGCGCGGAAGAUGUAACGGGGCUAAACCAUGCACCGAAGCUGCGGCAGCGACGCUGAUGCGUUGUUGGGUAGGGGAGCGUUCUGUAAGCCUGCGAAGGUGGCCUGUGAGGGUUGCUGGAGGUAUCAGAAGUGCGAAUGCUGACAUAAGUAACGAUAAAGCGGGUGAAAAGCCCGCUCGCCGGAAGACCAAGGGUUCCUGUCCAACGUUAAUCGGGGCAGGGUGAGUCGACCCCUAAGGCGAGGCCGAAAGGCGUAGUCGAUGGGAAACGGGUUAAUAUUCCCGUACUUGGUGUUACUGCGAAGGGGGGACGGAGAAGGCUAUGUUGGCCGGGCGACGGUUGUCCCGGUUUAAGCGUGUAGGUGUGUGUUCCAGGUAAAUCCGGUUCACUUUAACACUGAGGCGUGAUGACGAGGCACUACGGUGCUGAAGCAACAAAUGCCCUGCUUCCAGGAAAAGCCUCUAAGCAUCAGGUAACAUCAAAUCGUACCCCAAACCGACACAGGUGGUCAGGUAGAGAAUACCAAGGCGCUUGAGAGAACUCGGGUGAAGGAACUAGGCAAAAUGGUGCCGUAACUUCGGGAGAAGGCACGCUGACACGUAGGUGAAGUGAUUUACUCAUGGAGCUGAAGUCAGUCGAAGAUACCAGCUGGCUGCAACUGUUUAUUAAAAACACAGCACUGUGCAAACACGAAAGUGGACGUAUACGGUGUGACGCCUGCCCGGUGCCGGAAGGUUAAUUGAUGGGGUCAGCGCAAGCGAAGCUCCUGAUCGAAGCCCCGGUAAACGGCGGCCGUAACUAUAACGGUCCUAAGGUAGCGAAAUUCCUUGUCGGGUAAGUUCCGACCUGCACGAAUGGCGUAAUGAUGGCCAGGCUGUCUCCACCCGAGACUCAGUGAAAUUGAACUCGCUGUGAAGAUGCAGUGUACCCGCGGCAAGACGGAAAGACCCCGUGAACCUUUACUAUAGCUUGACACUGAACAUUGAGCCUUGAUGUGUAGGAUAGGUGGGAGGCUUUGAAGUGUGGACGCCAGUCUGCAUGGAGCCGGCCUUGAAAUACCACCCUUUAAUGUUUGAUGUUCUAACGUGGACCCGUGAUCCGGGUUGCGGACAGUGUCUGGUGGGUAGUUUGACUGGGGCGGUCUCCUCCUAAAGAGUAACGGAGGAGCACGAAGGUUGGCUAAUCCUGGUCGGACAUCAGGAGGUUAGUGCAAUGGCAUAAGCCAGCUUGACUGCGAGCGUGACGGCGCGAGCAGGUGCGAAAGCAGGUCAUAGUGAUCCGGUGGUUCUGAAUGGAAGGGCCAUCGCUCAACGGAUAAAAGGUACUCCGGGGAUAACAGGCUGAUACCGCCCAAGAGUUCAUAUCGACGGCGGUGUUUGGCACCUCGAUGUCGGCUCAUCACAUCCUGGGGCUGAAGUAGGUCCCAAGGGUAUGGCUGUUCGCCAUUUAAAGUGGUACGCGAGCUGGGUUUAGAACGUCGUGAGACAGUUCGGUCCCUAUCUGCCGUGGGCGCUGGAGAACUGAGGGGGGCUGCUCCUAGUACGAGAGGACCGGAGUGGACGCAUCACUGGUGUUCGGGUUGUCAUGCCAAUGGCACUGCCCGGUAGCUAAAUGCGGAAGAGAUAAGUGCUGAAAGCAUCUAAGCACGAAACUUGCCCCGAGAUGAGUUCUCCCUGAGACUUAGAGUCUCCUGAAGGAACGUUGAAGACGACGACGUUGAUAGGCCGGGUGUGUAAGCGCAGCGAUGCGUUGAGCUAACCGGUACUAAUGAACCGUGAGGCUUAACCUUACA
Molecule: ribosomal RNA, 2369 nt
Filed under: Salmonella enterica subsp. enterica
Lineage: Bacteria; Pseudomonadati; Pseudomonadota; Gammaproteobacteria; Enterobacterales; Enterobacteriaceae
Description: partial 23S ribosomal RNA
Rfam family: Bacterial large subunit ribosomal RNA
Source: RNAcentral